CCUACGUGAGGCAGCAGUGGGGAAUAUUGGGCAAUGGGCGCAAGCCUGACCCAGCAACGCCGCGUGAAGGAAGAAGGCUUUCGGGUUGUAAACUUCUUUUCUCAGGGACGAAGAAAGUGACGGUACCUGAGGAAUAAGCCACGGCUAACUACGUGCAAGCAGCCGCGGUAAUACGUAGGUGGCAAGCGUUAUCCGGAUUUACUGGGUGUAAAGGGCGUGUAGGCGGGAAAGCAAGUCAGAUGUGAAAACCAUGGGCUCAACCUGUGGCCUGCAUUUGAAACUGUUUUUCUUGAGUACUGGAGAGGCAGACGGAAUUCCUAGUGUAGCGGUGAAAUGCGUAGAUAUUAGGAGGAACACCAGUGGCGAAGGCGGUCUGCUGGACAGCAACUGACGCUGAGGCGCGAAAGCGUGGGGAGCAAACAGGAUUAGAUACCCCAGUAGUC
RNAcentral lists this ribosomal RNA (443 nucleotides) under uncultured bacterium. Its description in RNAcentral is "partial 16S ribosomal RNA". It matches the Rfam family "Bacterial small subunit ribosomal RNA", at positions 338 to 795 of the family's 1533-position model. The record is from RNAcentral.